This is a non-coding RNA of Helianthus annuus (common sunflower), 124 nucleotides long. The record is from Rfam. Lineage: Eukaryota; Viridiplantae; Streptophyta; Magnoliopsida; Asterales; Asteraceae.
ACCAAGUCUGGAGGAUGAAUUUGGUUCCUCGUUGUGUAUGGCUCGGACGCCAAAUCAAUAUUUGUCGGUAUCGUGAUCAAUGGCUUGUCAAUGCUAUUGUAUCAUGGAAACACCUCAUACAAUG